RNAcentral lists this ribosomal RNA (465 nucleotides) under Vreelandella stevensii. RNAcentral's name for it is "partial 16S ribosomal RNA". It matches the Rfam family "Bacterial small subunit ribosomal RNA", at positions 338 to 795 of the family's 1533-position model. Lineage: Bacteria; Pseudomonadati; Pseudomonadota; Gammaproteobacteria; Oceanospirillales; Halomonadaceae. The record is from RNAcentral.
CCUACGGGGGGCUGCAGUGGGGAAUAUUGGACAAUGGAGGCAACCCUGAUCCAGCCAUGCCGCGUGUGUGAAGAAGGCCCUCGGGUUGUAAAGCACUUUCAGUGAGGAAGAACGCCUGGUGGUUAAUACCCAUCAGGAAAGACAUCACUCACAGAAGAAGCACCGGCUAACUCCGUGCCAGCAGCCGCGGUAAUACGGAGGGUGCGAGCGUUAAUCGGAAUUACUGGGCGUAAAGCGCGCGUAGGUGGCUUGAUAAGCCGGUUGUGAAAGCCCCGGGCUCAACCUGGGAACGGCAUCCGGAACUGUCAAGCUAGAGUGCAGGAGAGGAAGGUAGAAUUCCCGGUGUAGCGGUGAAAUGCGUAGAGAUCGGGAGGAAUACCAGUGGCGAAGGCGGCCUUCUGAACUGACACUGACACUGAGGUGCGAAAGCGUGGGUAGCAAACAGGAUUAGAUACCCUAGUAGUC